CAAUAGCGCAUAUUUAAGUUGCUGCAGUUAAAAAGCUCGUAGUUGGAUUUCGGGUGGGAAUGGCCGGUCCGCCGUUUCGGUGUGCACUUGCUACGCCCACCUUGCUGCCGGGGACGUGCUCUUGAGUUCACGCUCGGGACACGGAGUCGGCGAGGUUACUUUGAGUAAAUUAGAGUGUUCAAAGCAGGCCUACGCUCUGAAUACAUUAGCAUGGAAUAACACGAUAGGACUCUGGCCUAUCUUGUUGGUCUGUAGGACCGGAGUAAUGAUUAAGAGGGACAGUCGGGGGCAUUCGUAUUUCAUUGUCAGAGGUGAAAUUCUUGGAUUUAUGAAAGACGAACUACUGCGAAAGCAUUUGCCAAGGAUGUUUUCAUUGA
Molecule: ribosomal RNA, 377 nt
Filed under: uncultured eukaryote
Lineage: Eukaryota
Description: partial 18S ribosomal RNA
Rfam family: Eukaryotic small subunit ribosomal RNA
Source: RNAcentral